This 627-nucleotide ribosomal RNA is filed under the name uncultured archaeon. RNAcentral's name for it is "bacterial SSU rRNA". It matches the Rfam family "Archaeal small subunit ribosomal RNA", at positions 1 to 633 of the family's 1478-position model. The record is from RNAcentral.
UUCGCCCUUGUUGAUCCUGCCGGACCCGACUGCUAUCAGAGUGGGACUAAGCCAUGCGAGUCAACGCCGUAAGGCGUGGCAUACGGCUCAGUAACACGUAGUCAACAUGCCCAAAGGACGUGGAUAACCUCGGGAAACUGAGGAUAAACCGCGAUAGGCCAAGGUUUCUGGAAUGAGCCAUGGCCGAAAUCUAUACGGCCUUUGGAUUGGACUGCGGCCGAUCAGGCUGUUGGUGAGGUAAUGGCCCACCAAACCUGUAACCGGUACGGGCUUUGAGAGAAGGAGCCCGGAGAUGGGCACUGAGACAAGGGCCCAGGCCCUAUGGGGCGCAGCAGGCGCGAAACCUCUGCAAUAGGCGAAAGCUUGACAGGGUUACUCUGAGUGAUGCCCGCUAAGGGUAUCUUUUGGCACCUCUAAAAAUGGUGCAGAAUAAGGGGUGGGCAAGUCUGGUGUCAGCCGCCGCGGUAAUACCAGCACCCCGAGUUGUCGGGACGAUUAUUGGGCCUAAAGCAUCCGUAGCCUGUUCUGCAAGUCCUCCGUUAAAUCCACCCGCUUAACGGAUGGGCCGCGGGGGAUACUGCAGAGCUAGGAGGCGGGAGAGGCAAACGGUACUCAGUGGGUAGGGGU